GAGUACGGCCGCAAGGUUAAAACUCAAAUGAAUUGACGGGGGCCCGCACAAGCGGUGGAGCAUGUGGUUUAAUUCGAUGCAACGCGAAGAACCUUACCUGGUCUUGACAUCCACAGAAUCUUGCAGAGAUGCGAGAGUGCCUUCGGGAACUGUGAGACAGGUGCUGCAUGGCUGUCGUCAGCUCGUGUUGUGAAAUGUUGGGUUAAGUCCCGCAACGAGCGCAACCCUUAUCCUUUGUUGCCAUUGGUUCGGCCGGGAACUCAAAGGAGACUGCCGUUGAUAAAGCGGAGGAAGGUGGGGACGACGUCAAGUCAUCAUGGCCCUUACGACCAGGGCUACACACGUGCUACAAUGGCGUAUACAAAGGGAGGCGACCUCGCGAGAGCAAGCGGACCUCAUAAAGUACGUCUAAGUCCGGAUUGGAGUCUGCAACUCGACUCCAUGAAGUCGGAAUCGCUAGUAAUCGUGAAUCAGAAUGUCACGGUGAAUACGUUCCCGGGCCU
RNAcentral lists this ribosomal RNA (503 nucleotides) under uncultured Gammaproteobacteria bacterium. Its description in RNAcentral is "bacterial SSU rRNA". It matches the Rfam family "Bacterial small subunit ribosomal RNA", at positions 878 to 1381 of the family's 1533-position model. Lineage: Bacteria; Pseudomonadati; Pseudomonadota; Gammaproteobacteria. The record is from RNAcentral.